Molecule: ribosomal RNA, 516 nt
Filed under: uncultured bacterium
Lineage: Bacteria
Description: bacterial SSU rRNA
Rfam family: Bacterial small subunit ribosomal RNA
Source: RNAcentral
ACGGAAUAGAUACCCGGGUAGUCCACGCUGUAAACGAUGAGUGCUAGAUGCCGGAUUUUUCGGUGUCGCAGCUAAACGCAUUAAGCACUCCACCUGGGAAGUACGAUCGCAAGGUUGAAACUCAAAGGAAUUGACGGGGGCCCGCACAAGCAGUGGAGCAUGUGGUUUAAUUCGAUGCAACGCGAAGAACCUUACCUAGGCUUGAAAAGCUUAUGACCGGCUGUGAAAGCAGCUUUCCCGCAAGGGCAUAAGUACAGGUGCUGCAUGGCUGUCGUCAGCUCGUGCCGUGAGGUGUUGGGUUAAGUCCCGCAACGAGCGCAACCCUUACCAUUAGUUGCCACCGGAGCAAUCCGAGCACUCUAAUGGAACUGCCUACGCAAGUAGUGAGGAAGGUGAGGACGACGUCAAGUCCGCAUGGCCCUUACGCCUAGGGCUACACACGUGCUACAAUGGCCGCCACAACGGGCAGCAAAAUCGCGAGAUGGAGCGAAUCCCUAAAAAGCGGCCUCAGUUCGG